Rosa chinensis is the source of this 782-nucleotide long non-coding RNA. RefSeq lists it as uncharacterized. The record is from RefSeq and is a predicted model, not a curated record. Lineage: Eukaryota; Viridiplantae; Streptophyta; Magnoliopsida; Rosales; Rosaceae. The transcript is spliced from 2 exons.
GAGUUUGAAUCCCAUGUUGUGGUGAGUGAAAACAAAGAGAGAGAGGGAGUGGAGUUUAGAGAGAAAAUGGAGAUUUCUCCUAAAACUCAAGUGUCUUUCCUUUGUUAGUGUGCAUUUCGUCCUGUUAUAAGAGAGAGGGUAUUCUCAAUUGUUGCUCUCCUUAUUGCAAAAGAGAAAUUGUUGUAUCCUUUUGCUAUAGUGAAAUCCUUCUACAAUUUGCCUAUCAUCUUGUGCUUCACUCAUUUUCAUAGUUUCUACUUCAGUUGUAAUUGGGUGCCCCAUACCACAACGUUCCUAACAAAACUGAUGUCUACAGCUAUGGAGUGUUAAUGCUUGAAAUCGUAAGUGGUAACAAAAAUUUCAAAGCUGACGGCAAUUAUUUGGUAAAAGAUGCAUGGCAGCUAUGGCAAAAAGGUGCAGGCUAGAGCUUGUGGAUCCAAAACUGUAAGUCUCUCGUAUUAACAAACAUCAAAUGUUAAGAUGCAUCCAUGCUGGUCUGCUGUGCACGGCAGAAUGUGAAGAUGACCGGCCCACCAUGUCAGAUGCGAUAUAUAUGUUGAAAAAUGAAACAGUGCCUUUGCCUGAACCAACAAUGCCGGCCUAUAUACAGUGAUCUAACUAUUUCUCGUAUAGAUGCAAACGGACGGGAAACUAUGUCCCUAAAUGGUUUGUCAAUACUUGGCCAAAAUAUUAGCUUAACAAUAAACAGUAUAUGACUGUUUCCGAGUUUGGUGGACGUUAAUGUUGACAUGAGCUGUAUCAAUUAAUUUUAUUAUGAUUUA